UACGUAGGGUGCGAGCGUUGUCCGGAAUUAUUGGGCGUAAAGGGCUCGUAGGCGGUUUGUCGCGUCGGGAGUGAAAACCUCGGGCUUAACUCGGGGCUUGCUCUCGAUACGGGCAGACUGGAGGUAUGCAGGGGAGAACGGAAUUCCUGGUGUAGCGGUGAAAUGCGCGGAUAUCAGGAGGAACACCGGUGGCGAAGGCGGUUCUCUGGGCAUUACCUGACGCUGAGGAGCGAAAGUGUGGGGAGCGAACAGG
Molecule: ribosomal RNA, 253 nt
Filed under: uncultured bacterium
Lineage: Bacteria
Description: partial 16S ribosomal RNA
Rfam family: Bacterial small subunit ribosomal RNA
Source: RNAcentral